Molecule: microRNA precursor, 63 nt
Filed under: Dasypus novemcinctus (nine-banded armadillo)
Lineage: Eukaryota; Metazoa; Chordata; Mammalia; Cingulata; Dasypodidae
Description: microRNA dno-mir-219a precursor
Gene: dno-mir-219a
Rfam family: mir-219 microRNA precursor family
About the family: The hairpin precursors (represented here) are predicted based on base pairing and cross-species conservation -- their extents are not known. In this case the mature sequence is excised from the 5' arm of the hairpin.
Source: miRBase by way of RNAcentral
UGAUUGUCCAAACGCAAUUCUCGAGUCUCUGGAUCCGGCCGAGAGUUGAGUCUGGACGUCCCG